RNAcentral lists this ribosomal RNA (781 nucleotides) under uncultured Neocallimastigales. RNAcentral's name for it is "partial large subunit ribosomal RNA". It matches the Rfam family "Eukaryotic large subunit ribosomal RNA", at positions 24 to 646 of the family's 3401-position model. The record is from RNAcentral. Lineage: Eukaryota; Fungi; Neocallimastigomycota; Neocallimastigomycetes; Neocallimastigales.
UAUCUCUGUAGAGUCUGCAUAUCAAUAAGCGGAGGAAAAGAAACUAACUAGGAUUCCCCUAGUAACGGCGAGUGAAGCGGGAAGAGCUCAAAUUUGAAAUCUUCAAGGUUUUACCUUGACGAGUUGUAGUUUAAAGAAGUGUUUUCGGUUAGAGGAGUAGUAAAAGUUCUUUGGAAUAGGACAUCAUAGAGGGUGAGAAUCCCGUAUUUGACUAUUCUUUCUAGCUUUGUGAUACACUUUCAAAGAGUCGGAUUGUUUGGGAAUGCAGUCCAAAAUGGGUGGUAAAUUUCAUCUAAAGCUAAAUAUUGGCGAGAGACCGAUAGCGAACAAGUACCGUGAGGGAAAGAUGAAAAGAACUUUGAAAAGAGAGUUAAACAGUACGUGAAAUUGUCAAAAGGGAAGCGUUUGACACCAGUGUUAUUUUUCCGAAAAUCAAUUAAAAAUUGGUUCAUGCUAAGUAGUAUUGACUUCAUCGGCUUGCUGCUUAGUUUUGGUCUUCUUUUUGAUGCACUUUUCGGUUAACAAGUCAACAUCAAUUUCUUUUGCCGUAAAAGGGUAGAAGGAAGGUGGCUUCAACAUCGGUUGAAGUGUUUAUAGCCUUUUAGCCUCUGCAGGUCGGAGAGACUGAGGUCUGCAGCGUAGACUCCUUCGGGGUUAGAUACAGUUUGUGCUAAGUUAUAGCCUUUUCAUAGACAACUUGUUGACUAUGAUUUAGUCAUUGUAGCUUACUCGCUUAUGCUAUUUUACCUACGCUUAGGAUGUUGAUGUGAUACUGCGAGCA